Raphanus sativus (radish) is the source of this 456-nucleotide long non-coding RNA. RefSeq lists it as uncharacterized. The record is from RefSeq and is a predicted model, not a curated record. Lineage: Eukaryota; Viridiplantae; Streptophyta; Magnoliopsida; Brassicales; Brassicaceae. The transcript is spliced from 2 exons.
CCGAAUAUUUCUCUUCUAUAAAUAGUGGUACUGCCAUAAGUGCAACUUACAGCAAAUAAAGGCAUCAAAAAGACAAAAAAAGAAUUACAAGUUUACAAUCAAAGAGAAGUAAGAGAAGCAAUGGCAGGUUCUAACUGUGGAUGUGGUUCCGCUUGCAAAUGUGGUGACUCUUGCAGUUGCGAGAAGAACUACAACACGGAGUGCGACAACUGCAGCUGCGGUGACAGCUGCAGCUGUUGAAGAAAUUGUGGUUUAAAUCACAUGCGUGCAGGAAAAACUGGGGGAAAAGUGUGUUUGAUGUUAAGAGAUAUGUGUGUGUUUGAAUAAAGAUUUGGCAUGAUGUUGCCUAAUUACUCUCUUAGCCUUGGCCUUUUCUCUAUGUGUUUUUAUUGUGUAAUGUUUUCAUUUGUAACGUAAGAAAAAAAUAUCUAUUGACUUUUGUGAUUGUUAUUAUUA